Trifolium pratense (red clover) is the source of this 1375-nucleotide long non-coding RNA. RefSeq lists it as uncharacterized. The record is from RefSeq and is a predicted model, not a curated record. Lineage: Eukaryota; Viridiplantae; Streptophyta; Magnoliopsida; Fabales; Fabaceae. The transcript is spliced from 4 exons.
UCUAUCCUAUAUGGUUUUUUUUUCUUCCGGUUUUUACUUUCAAAAUGAUUUUUUUUUGUUCUUUUCUGGUUUAGUCAUGUACCCUUUUGGAUGAAUUAACAUGGGUGUGUGUUGGAUUUUGAGUUACAGGAACUAAAGGGUGCGUGUGGAUCUCUCGUGUUGGAUAAUUCAGCUUUAAAAUGCGAUGUCUCAUUUGUAUACUUUGUAUCUAUCACAAACACAGAUACAAAACCUCAAUUUAGUAUAAGAAUAGCUAUGAAAAUUGUCUAACCUUUUUCUACUUUAUUAUUGUAUAUAUAAAGAAUGUUUAUAAAAAAUUAUAGCCAUAGUUUUCUAAAAGAGGUCUUGUAUUGCAUAAUAUAGGUCACAACAAAGGAUGGAGGUUUUCAGUGGUAGUGAUAUAGCUCAAAUUUCUUGUAGUGAGGGUAUGUUGCGGCAUCAUUUGAAAUUUUGAGUGCCUUGAAUCUUGUGAAAGAAGAGGCCAAUGGAAGGUAGCAGCACAGUCCCAAGAACUUAUUCAAACCAUACAACAUUAUUACAACAAUACAUAUUUGGAUGGUACUAAAGCAAUUAAUAUGUCAACAUAUUACUUGUGGAAGUUCUAUUUGUCAUUGCAGCAAUGGAGUUCAUUUAUGGCUUUGGUCUCUAACUAUAACAUACAUAUUUGAUGGAAUCCACUGUUAUGCUUGGGUUUAGAUAAAAGAGGAUAGAAAUUGGACUUUGGCCAUGUUUGACUUUGUUGGAUGGUUCUGAUAUUACCUGAUUUGAAGGUAUUUAAUUGAAGUUCUCUCUUAUUCUCUGUCACCGAACGCAUAAGCUCUCUUCACCAUCACCAUUGCAUCACCUCAUCCCCACCGCACGAUCACUUCACCAACACAAAGGUUCUGGAUACCCCUUCACUUCAAGAUGACUUUUACUUGAAUCUUGUGGACUGGUCUUCACAAAAUAUUCUAGCAGUGGGACUGGGCACUUGUGUUUAUCUUUGGAGUGCUUCAAACAAUAAAGUGAGUAUGAACCUUUGAUUAUAACUAUAUGCAGACAUGAAAACAAAUGGGUAUAUGCCAACAAUGGUGGUGUUGACAAGACAACAGUUGCAAACAUUAUUGUAUGCAGAGAGGGAUCAAGUGCUUUUACUUCUACUCUUCAUUUGAAAGAUCAAGGACGUGAAUUUUGGCGUAUCAAUGGUGUCUUUUAUAUUUAGCUAGUUUUAUGAUUUUUGCAUCUCAUUGCUUAUCAAUGCUUAGCAAUGUAUUUAAUGCUCUGUAAUUCAUAUAUUGAUUAGUUUAAAUGCAAAUUGUAUUUGGAUUUGAAGAUAUCCAUUGUAUUAUACAGUAGUAACUUGUAAUUAGAUUUGAGUAGCAUAUUUUGUAGCCAA